Molecule: ribosomal RNA, 518 nt
Filed under: uncultured bacterium
Lineage: Bacteria
Description: bacterial SSU rRNA
Rfam family: Bacterial small subunit ribosomal RNA
Source: RNAcentral
CGUCACCAAGGCGACGAUCCGUAGCGGGUCUGGAGAGGAUGAUCCGCCACACUGGGACUGAGACACGGCCCAGACUCCUACGGGAGGCAGCAGUGGGGAAUUUUGGACAAUGGGCGCAAGCCUGAUCCAGCCAUGCCGCGUGCGGGAAGAAGGCCUUCGGGGUUGUAAAACCGCUUUCGGACAGAAAGAAAUCGCAUGGACUAAUACUCUGUGUGGAUGACGGUACUGUAAGAAGAAGCACCGGCUAACUACGUGCCAGCAGCCGCGGUAAUACGUAGGGUGCGAGCGUUAAUCGGAAUUACUGGGCGUAAAGCGUGCGCAGGCGGAUAUUUAAGUCAGACGUGAAAUCCCCGGGCUUAACCUGGGAAUGGCGUUUGAAACUGGAUGUCUAGAGUGUGGCAGAGGGGGUGGAAUUCCACGUGUAGCAGUGAAAUGCGUAGAGAUGUGGAGGAACACCGAUGGCGAAGGCAGCCCCCUGGGCUAACACUGACGCUCAUGCACGAAAGCGUGGGGAGCUA